Long non-coding RNA from Cyprinus carpio carpio, 952 nucleotides. Lineage: Eukaryota; Metazoa; Chordata; Actinopteri; Cypriniformes; Cyprinidae. The record is from Ensembl.
AAACUAUAUUAGCCGUCAAAUUCAUUAGCUUUUUAAAAUACAUAUUACUUUUCUUUGAAAGAUUUUUAUAAAUUAUUUAAAUGCUCUAUACACGUUUCAACAACAAUUAUUUAAAAGUAAUCAUAUAGCUCCAUCUAGUGGUGGUCAUGAUUUGUAUUACACACUGCACGUUUGGUGUUGCUAUCUGAACCAGUCAGAAUGAAGGGCGCCUACAUGGAGCGCGAGAACAGAACAUAUGCCUCCGUAAAUCCAGGUUCACACGCUCUCUGUUAAUGCGUAUUUUUUCCGAGCCCAUGUUAAUGGAUCAGAGCGUUCACACUGCACACGGUAAAGGAUGUGAACAAAAAAGGUUAGAAAUAGAAAGGUGCGAAAAGAAUGAAUAUCUAGCGCAUGAGCAUAGAGAGUUGUGAGUGCACAGGACACAGUUUGAGCAGAGGAAACUCGUUUUAAUUGUGCGCACUGAGCGAAAUCAGCAUGUAUCUGAGCACGCGUGUCUGGUUUUAAGCGUGCCAACAAAGAGAUUCGCGCUCGCGCAUUAUUUAAUGUGCUUUCGCGUUACAAUAACUCGCUCUCGCUCCUGCUUCUGUACCGCAUACACAUACUGCAUACGCACUGCAGACAGAGUACGUGUGAACCUGUAUAAUGUAUAACAAAUCUAUUUCAACACCUGAGGCACCGCUACAAUGAGCUCUAUGACCAAUGCAUGGCAAGAAAACAUCCCUAAUAAUUCAGCACUCCUGAAUAUAAGGAGUUUUUCACUUCCAGCCUUCAAGGACAAUUAUAUAUCACUCAUAAAUGAUUAAAUAACAAAUGUAUAGUAUUUAUUAAGAUUGAUGUGAUUUGGAAUAGGUAAAAUGUACUUGGAAAAAAAUAUCACCAGAAUAUCAGUGUGACUAAUUAUUAUGCACUCGGUGAAAAAGCAUUUUUAACAAUUUUAUUGAUCUAUAAGCAU